CUGAUCUCAAAACUGUAAAACCGGGUACACGUACACUUCUCCGGAGAGUAAAACUUGACUUGAACAUAAAACUUUGAAUAAUAGUCGAUGCGGACGAGGAAAUCGGAGCAAUAAUCGUCGAAACAUGAGCGACAGACGAGGACUCGUCUUGGACUCAAACUCUAUGGGGCUGUCCAAUCCGGAUACUCCCACGAUCUCGGGGCAGCAGACGUCUCAGCAGGCGGUACAGGUGCAGCUGGCGCUGAAGGAUCAGCAAAGCCAAAAGGCUCUACAGCAGGACACAGGGAAUGUCGAAAAUCAAUCCGGUGUCUUCACGAACUACAGCAACCAAGACCACUCCAGGUGCAAUGCUCGCACUGAGCCCAUAGCUACGGAGUACUUUCACCGUUUGGUGGACCAACUGCCUGAGGCACAUGACAUGAGCGCUCAGAUGAAUCUGCAGCUGAACAAGACAUUCCUAAAACGGCUGGACGAGAUCGACGGCCUCAAUUUUCCGAGCGUAGAUUUAAGGACACAAUCCACCCAGAGGCUACCACUCAAUACCUAACCCCAAUCUUUGUUGGAUUGCCUCCCACUCCAGCUGCGCCUGAUCACUUUUCAAGAGUGGGUGGACGUCCUACUAAAUGUCAACAGCGUCAUGUUCACCAACUUGUCGGCAAUUAAAGGGGAGGCAUACGGCAAGAUCAUGGACCGCGUUCAGUCGGUCAGUGGGGAGCAACAGCAGACGUUGGACGAAAACCGAAAUCUGCGCAAGGACUUAUGUGCAAUCAUAAAGCUCCUACAGAAUGCCUAUCACCGGAACAUUUGGGACACGGACUGCCUUUCACUGGAAGCCCUGACUGUUAACCAAAUUCUGGGCAUAACCCACAGGCAGCGUCAUCCGGAGAGCGUCAGUGAAAUUAGCGAUAGUGAAUGCGGCCGGUGAAGAUAACCUGUUUAGUCUUCCGUUACUACCGAUGUUGUUUUUAGCUAAAUUAUAUACAUAAAAUUAAGAUUUACAUUGUUCAGCAGCGUUUCUUGCGAUAAAUUUAAUAAUACUCAUCUCAUUCAUUC
Molecule: RNA transcript, 1053 nt
Organism: Drosophila miranda
Lineage: Eukaryota; Metazoa; Arthropoda; Insecta; Diptera; Drosophilidae
Exons: 2
Source: RefSeq, a predicted model, not a curated record